Molecule: ribosomal RNA, 278 nt
Filed under: uncultured Pseudomonas sp.
Lineage: Bacteria; Pseudomonadati; Pseudomonadota; Gammaproteobacteria; Pseudomonadales; Pseudomonadaceae
Description: partial 16S ribosomal RNA
Rfam family: Bacterial small subunit ribosomal RNA
Source: RNAcentral
UGUCCUUAGUUACCAGCACGUUAUGGUGGGCGACUCUAAGGAGACUGCCGGUGACAACCGGAGGAAGGUGGGGAGUGACGUCAAGUCAUCAUGGCCCUUACGGCCUGGGCUACACACGUGCUACAAUGGUCGGUACAAAGGGUUGCCAAGCCGCGAGGUGGAGCUAAUCCCAUAAAACCGAUCGUAGUCCGGAUCGCAGUCUGCAACUCGACUGCGUGAAGUCGGAAUCGCUAGUAAUCGUGAAUCAGAAUGUCACGGUGAAUACGUUCCCGGGCCUU